Molecule: transfer RNA, 77 nt
Filed under: Candidatus Endolissoclinum sp.
Lineage: Bacteria; Pseudomonadati; Pseudomonadota; Alphaproteobacteria; Rhodospirillales; Rhodospirillaceae
Description: tRNA-Arg
Rfam family: tRNA
About the family: Transfer RNA (tRNA) molecules are approximately 80 nucleotides in length. Their secondary structure includes four short double-helical elements and three loops (D, anti-codon, and T loops).
Source: RNAcentral
CUGCCCGUAGUUCAGUUGGAUAGAACGCCAGUUUGCGGAACUGGAGGCCAGGAGUUCGAAUCUCUUCGGGCAGGCCA